Molecule: ribosomal RNA, 251 nt
Filed under: uncultured bacterium
Lineage: Bacteria
Description: partial 16S ribosomal RNA
Rfam family: Bacterial small subunit ribosomal RNA
Source: RNAcentral
GCAAGUCGAGGGGUAACAUUGGUGCUUGCAUCAGAUGACGACCGGCGAACGGGUGCGUAACGCGUAUAGAAUCUGCCUUUUACAGGAGGAUAGCCAGUAGAAAUGAAGAUUAAUACUCCAUAAUAUUGGGAAGUGGCAUCACUAUCUAAUUAAACAUUUAUGGGUACAAGAUGACUAUGCGUCAUAGUAGCUAGAUGGUAAGGUAACGGCUUACCAUGGCAACGAUAGGUAGGGGGUCUGAGAGGAGUAGC